UGGUUUUGCGCCUAAGUGUCCAAUGUAAAAGAUAUAAAAUGUUUAUUAUAUUCUUUUAUAACAAAAGUAAGAUCUGAGUCUGUGUCUCUCCACCUUCAAACCCAAAAUCGAUAUCUUCCUAUGUGCAUCUCAGAUCCGUUUCUUACAACCCAAAUUCUUCUCUUUUAGCUCUUCCUUUCAUAAACAAUAGUUGCCUCCGGUUUCGUCUUUCUCACCGGCGCUGCUUGAUGUGAGUGAGAAUUCAGCAACACUUCAUCACUCAAUCAAUCUCUCUCGAAAUUGAUGUUUGUUUUCUCGACGACCGUUUCCCAAUAUCCGAAAUCGAUCUCCGUCUCUUCCCACAGUUUCAGCAUCACUGAGAAGCAGCAUAGAAGCAGUCACAAUAACGAACCCUCUAUCCCAACAUACGAGAAACCAAUUCGGUUUCGGAUCUGAAUAUCAUCUCCAGAUCGAGAAGAGAAACUGGUUACCGUCGGAGAAGGUGGGUCGUGCCUAGAAUCAAACGGUGGUGAUGCUACAGCUGUAGCCACGAAGCCUAGAGGAGAUGGAGAGGACCCAGAGCAACCAAAUCUUUGAGCUGUGUUAAACUCUGAUAUUGUUAGGGAAAAGCCUAAUGUUAAGCGUGGACAGAUGUUGCUGGGCUUGAAGGUGCUAAACAAGCUUUGAAGGAAGCUGUGAUUUUGCCUGUCAAGUUCCCACAGUUCUUCACCGGUGAAUGUUUCUACUUUCAAUUUUCAAAUUGAUGUGAAUUAGUGGUGAGGACUGCGAGAAAUCUGAUUGUGGUGACAGUUGAGUUCAAGGAGACCAUGUAAGUCACUUACCUAUCUCGUGCUACUUACGUUUUUAACUUUGCUAGGGCGGAUAAUGAGCAAGCCAUCUUCCGCUUGAAAGCUUUUAUUCUAUGAACUACACAUUGGUGAUUAUAAUGUCGAACUUAUGGCUGAUAUAAGGUGAAUGUUUUGUUUAUCCGAUUCUCUACUUGUUUUAUAGAUAACUUUAGUGUUGAUUCUACUCACCCAUAAGUCUCUGAUUUUUGAGUUUGAGCUAAAAUUUCUUUAUUUGAUCUGUCAACGUUUUGGGUUAGUGAAUAUCUUCCUUUUCUUUACCACAAAAGCACCUUAGUAUUGUAUUAACGAGUUGAAAGUAUUCUAUUAAUUUUGAUCAGUUGCACAUUCAUCUGGAUUUUCUCAGUUUGUCAAAAGUUGGAAUCCAAGAAGAUAACAACAUACAAAGAGAGAGAAAAAACAACUAUUAGCGAUGUUGGAGGUGUAUACAGAGAGAAGAAGGAACAACCAUUUUGAUAUUGGUACAAAAGCUGUAGCUGUUGGUGCUGGAUGGCAAGGCAUAGUUGAACAUUGGGUGUUUCUAUAUAUGUGGUAAUACCUAUUUGUUUUAUUGCUCAUCUACAAGAGGGAACUUGGAGUAGAGGGAAUCUGGACAGGAAUGCUAACAGGAACAGUUCUUCAGACGUGUGUACUGCAUUUGAUGGGAAGGCGAUAGAGGAGAAGAGACUUAAGAGAUUGAAGUUUGUCUCUAUCCUUAUAAGCUAUAAUGUUAGCUUUUUGGAUAAAACAGGGCAGCAUAUUAUAAGACUUGGUAUGAUAUGUAAGACUUGCUUAUAUUAACGUUAUGUUAUGUAUGUUGAUGAUUUAUGAAAUAAUUUUUUUAAAUAUCAA
Camelina sativa (false flax) is the source of this 1676-nucleotide non-coding RNA. The record is from RefSeq and is a predicted model, not a curated record. Lineage: Eukaryota; Viridiplantae; Streptophyta; Magnoliopsida; Brassicales; Brassicaceae.